UGGGGAUGACGUCAAAGUCAGCACGUCGUCCUUAGCCUGGGCUACACACGUGUUACAAUGGUCGGUACAAAGGGCAGCUACACCGCGAGGUGAUGCUAAUCUCUAAAGCCGGUCUCAGUCCGGAUCGAAGUCUGCAACUCGACUCCAUGAAGUUGGAAUCGCUAGUAAUCGCGGAUCAGCAUGCCGCGGUGAAUACGUUCCCGGGCCUU
This 209-nucleotide ribosomal RNA is filed under the name uncultured Alkaliflexus sp. RNAcentral's name for it is "partial 16S ribosomal RNA". It matches the Rfam family "Bacterial small subunit ribosomal RNA", at positions 1174 to 1382 of the family's 1533-position model. Lineage: Bacteria; Pseudomonadati; Bacteroidota; Bacteroidia; Marinilabiliales; Marinilabiliaceae. The record is from RNAcentral.